AACCUCCUUGUUUUCCUUGUUUUGAUCAUCUUGGUGAGUCUGUCAAGGUCAUCUGUUGACCCCAGCUUAGCAGGACUGGCAGCUACCUAUAUUUUGAACAUAAAUGUUCUUCGAGCAUUGGUGAUAUGGAAUUUGUGAAACGUUGAGAACAACAUCUUAUUGUUUGAGAGAAUUCUCCAAUUGACUAAUAUACCAAGUGCAUCAGCAGCACUGAAUGGGUCAUCCAGGAAAUAAACAUCCGCAUCACUAUAGAUAGCCUUGACCAGUUGGAUUCUCUGCUUUUGCCCUCCACUUAAGUUCAUCCCCCUCUCUCCAACUGCACUUAAAUUUCUGCCUUGCCAAAUAUUGAUAUCUUGAUUCAAAGCACAAGCUUCCAAUACAUCAUCAUAGAAUGCCUUGUUCAUUUCUUUGCCAAACAAGACAUUCUCCCUAAUUGUAACUAUUUGAAUCCCAACACACUGUGGGACACAGGCUUUUCGUCCAUAAACUAUUACUCCUCUCCCAUAAAUCCUUGGAAUUUCACCUAGUAUAGACUUUCCUGACUCAACAGAACCACAUACUGCAACCUUUUCACCUUUCAAUACUGUCAUAUUCUCCAUAAUUCUGACGGUAGGUCUCUGUAUUUUUUCAUCACUUUCCCAAGCAUAUUCCCCAAUAUCAAUUUCAAUAGCAAUAUUGGAAUCUAUGGAAGUAUGAUAAUUUAUCUUCUUUUGAUCUUCUCCAACUCUUGGACACGAUCAACAGAGACCUUUGUUUGAGCCAUCAUUGAAAUGAACUCUGGUAGGUUGUAGAUGGGUUCUUGUAAAACACAAAGUGGCUAAACCAGAGGAGACUGUUCCUGCUAUCAACAGUAUGUACAAUAUUAUGCAAAUUCCAAAAGUGAAAAUAGAAACAAAAGUUGGUGAAGCCUAGAAAAAGAAGGCCACUACGGAGCAAGAAAAUAGGUAUCUUUUCAGCCAGUUUCCCUCAGAUAAAGGAGAUUCUUCAAGAACAUGGGUUACCAUGGAUGCAGCUUCAACACUCUCAUACUCUUUAGAGUUUCUGAAGUCACUUUGAUUCUUGCAGCCUUGGCUUCCAUAAUCUUUGAGUGGAGUCUUUUUUGCAUUUUGGCCAAAGGUGUGUUGCAUACCAUCUCCAAAACUGUGGCAGAUGAUGCAGCAAUGGAGGGGGCAGCUCCUAGAUUUCUAUAGAGGAUGAUUGAGGCCAGAAGGAACUGGACUGGAAGACAACAAACUCCGUGAAUGUAUAAGCAGAAGCCUCCAAUUUUUUUUGGCAUCCAAGUUGAUUGAAUUUAUGAUUUUGUCAUUGCUUGAACCAGCAUGCUUAAUUGAUAGAGAUUUCUUUUAAAUCAAUAC
This is a long non-coding RNA of Quercus robur (English oak), 1355 nucleotides long. RefSeq lists it as uncharacterized. The record is from RefSeq and is a predicted model, not a curated record. Lineage: Eukaryota; Viridiplantae; Streptophyta; Magnoliopsida; Fagales; Fagaceae. The transcript is spliced from 2 exons.